This 2001-nucleotide ribosomal RNA is filed under the name Bibersteinia trehalosi Y31. RNAcentral describes it as "bacterial LSU rRNA". It matches the Rfam family "Bacterial large subunit ribosomal RNA". Lineage: Bacteria; Pseudomonadati; Pseudomonadota; Gammaproteobacteria; Pasteurellales; Pasteurellaceae. The record is from RNAcentral.
GUUGUAUAGUUAAGUGACUAAGCGCACAAGGUGGAUGCCUUGGCAAUCAGAGGCGAAGAAGGACGUGCUAAUCUGCGAAAAGCUUGGAUGAGUUGAUAAGAAGCGUUUAAUCCAAGAUAUCCGAAUGGGGAAACCCAGUAGGUGAAGAACCUACUAUCACAUACUGAAUACAUAGGUAUGUGAGGCAAACCGGGAGAACUGAAACAUCUAAGUACCCCGAGGAAAAGAAAUCAACCGAGAUUUCGUUAGUAGCGGCGAGCGAACGCGAAAGAGCCAGUUAGUGAUAGCUUGAAUGUUAGGAGAAUGCUCUGGGAAGGGCAAUCGCAGAGGGUGAUAAUCCCGUAUCCGAAAACAUUCUGGUGGUACUAGGCUAACGACAAGUAGGGCGGGACACGUGAUAUCCUGUUUGAAGAUGGCGGGGACCAUCCUCCAAGGCUAAAUACUCCUGAUUGACCGAUAGUGAACCAGUACUGUGAAGGAAAGGCGAAAAGAACCCCGGCGAGGGGGGGGACGGAGAAGGUUAGGUUAGCAGACUGUUGGAUGUCUGUUUAAGCAGGUAGGUGGAAGACUUAGGCAAAUCCGGGUCUUCUUAACACCGAGAAGUGAUGACGAGUUUCUACGGAGAUGAAGUAACUGAUACCACGCUUCCAGGAAAAGCCACUAAGCUUCAGGUUAUUAUAAACCGUACUAUAAACCGACACAGGUGGUCAGGUAGAGAAUACUCAGGCGCUUGAGAGAACUCGGGUGAAGGAACUAGGCAAAAUAGCACCGUAACUUCGGGAGAAGGUGCGCCGGCGUAGAUUGUAGCCCCUGCGGCGUGAAGGUUGAACGGUCGAAGGAUACCAGCUGGCUGCAACUGUUUAUUAAAAACACAGCACUCUGCAAACACGAAAGGUGUGGACGUAUAGGGGUGUGAUGCCUGCCCGGGUGCUGGAAGGUUAAUUGAUGGUGUUAUCGAAAGAGAAGCUCCUGAUCGAAGCCCAGUAAACGGCGGCCGUAACUAUAACGGUCCUAAGGUAGCGGAAUUCCUUGUCGGGUAAGUUCCGACCUGCACGAAUGGCAUAAUGAUGCGCCAGGCUGUCUCCACCCGAGACUCAGUGGAAAUUGAAAUCGCCGUGAAGAUGCGGUGUACCCGCGGCUAGACGGAAAGACCCCGUGAACCUUUUACUAUAGCUUGACACUGAACAUUGAAUUUGAUGUGUAGAUAGGUGGGAGACUGAGAAGAUGAUACGCCAGUAUUGUUGGAGUCGUCCUUGAAAUACACCCUUCAACGUUUGAUGUUCUAACGAAGAUUACGAAACGUGGUCUCGGACAGUGUCUGGUGGGUAGUUUGGACUGGGGCGGUCUCCUCCCAAAGAGUAACGGAGGAGCACGAAGGUUUGCUAAUGACGGUCGGACAUCGUCAGGUUAGUGCAAUGGUAUAAGCAAGCUUAACUGCGAGACAGACAAGUCGAGCAGGUGCGAAAGCAGGUCAUAGUGAUCCGGUGGUUCUGAAUGGAAGGGCCAUCGCUCAACGGAUAAAAGGUACUCCGGGGAUAACAGGCUGAUACCGCCCAAGAGUUCAUAUCGACGGCGGUGUUUGGCACCUCGAUGUCGGCUCAUCACAUCCUGGGCUGAAGUAGGUCCCAAGGGUAUGGCUGUUCGCCAUUUAAAGUGGUACGCGAGCUGGGUUUAGAACGUCGUGAGACAGUUCGGUCCCUAUCUGCCGUGGCGUUGGAGAAUUGGUUGGGGCUGCUCCUAGUACGAGAGGACCGGAGUGGACGCACCACUGGUGUUCCGGUUGUGUCGCCAGACGCAUUGCCGGGUAGCUAAGUGCGGAAGAGAUAAGUGCUGAAAGCAUCUAAGCACGAAACUUGCCAAGAGAUGAGUUCUCCCUAGCUAUAAGCUAGUAAGGGUUGUUGGAGACUACGACGUAGAUAGGCUGGGUGUGUAAGUGUUGCGAGACAUUGAGCUAACCAGUACUAAUUGCCCGAGAGGCUUAACUAUACAACCUCAAGCGUU